CAUAUUUUCAAAAAAAAACUUUGGGAACCAGGCUCAGUCCGAGGCGAUUUUUACUUUGGAUUCCAGUCUAUCCACCUGCCAACCACAACCAUCUCCGGCAUUAUUGGUAGACCGGCAACUCUGAGCCCCGUUCAAAUCCGAGCUCGAGCCUCCAAUCAAUGGCAGAAAGGGAGAUGACCAGGAUGAGGAGCCCCCAAUCAAGGUCGUCCUUCUCCAAUCUCCAGUAAGAUUCCAAGAUCUUUUGAAUUUUGAUGUGCGCGAGGAACAGAGUGCUGAAUCCUUCAGUAUGCAAUGAGGCGUUAAAUAUUACAGGCAACGAUGGUGUGGGGAGAAAUACUAGCAAAGAUGAUGCCAGCAUUCACGUUUGUGGUGGAACUAAAAGAGAGGAUGGUGAUGGUGAUUCAAGUAAAUGCAAUUUUGUUUCAGCAGAUACCUAAGAACUCAAAGAGCUAACUGCAGGGAAUGUGCAGAGUUUUCAAAAUCAAUCCUGCUUUUUGGGCAAUGUUUGUUUUUUGGCAGUUAUGCAAUUGGUGUUUCUGAUGAACCAAAGAUAAUGUAUCGGUGUUUCUUUUGAAUGACAAAACUUUAGGGAUAACUUAAACAAUC
Long non-coding RNA from Panicum virgatum (switchgrass), 606 nucleotides. RefSeq lists it as uncharacterized. NCBI's taxonomy places the organism in Eukaryota, Viridiplantae, Streptophyta, Magnoliopsida, Poales, Poaceae. The transcript has 2 exons. The record is from RefSeq and is a predicted model, not a curated record.